UCGAGCGGUAACAGAGAGUAGCUUGCUACUUUGCUGACGAGCGGCGGACGGGUGAGUAAUGCUUGGGAACAUGCCUUGAGGUGGGGGACAACAGUUGGAAACGACUGCUAAUACCGCAUAAUGUCUACGGACCAAAGGGGGCUUCGGCUCUCGCCUUUAGAUUGGCCCAAGUGGGAUUAGCUAGUUGGUGAGGUAAUGGCUCACCAAGGCGACGAUCCCUAGCUGGUUUGAGAGGAUGAUCAGCCACACUGGGACUGAGACACGGCCCAGACUCCUACGGGAGGCAGCAGUGGGGAAUAUUGCACAAUGGGCGCAAGCCUGAUGCAGCCAUGCCGCGUGUGUGAAGAAGGCCUUCGGGUUGUAAAGCACUUUCAGUCAGGAGGAAAGGUUAGUAGUUAAUACCUGCUAGCUGUGACGUUACUGACAGAAGAAGCACCGGCUAACUCCGUGCCAGCAGCCGCGGUAAUACGGAGGGUGCGAGCGUUAAUCGGAAUUACUGGGCGUAAAGCGUACGCAGGCGGUUUGUUAAGCGAGAUGUGAAAGCCCCGGGCUCAACCUGGGAACUGCAUUUCGAACUGGCAAACUAGAGUGUGAUAGAGGGUGGUAGAAUUUCA
This 614-nucleotide ribosomal RNA is filed under the name bacterium W13S5. RNAcentral's name for it is "bacterial SSU rRNA". It matches the Rfam family "Bacterial small subunit ribosomal RNA", at positions 62 to 671 of the family's 1533-position model. The record is from RNAcentral.